CAGUCGCCGCGGUAAUACGAAGGGGGCUAGCGUUGCUCGGAAUUACUGGGCGUAAAGGGAGCGUAGGCGGAUGAAUUAGUCAGGGGUGAAAUCCCGGGGCUCAACCUCGGAACUGCCUUUGAUACUGUUCAUCUUGAGUAUGGGAGAGGUGUGUGGAACUCCGAGUGUAGAGGUGAAAUUCGUAGAUAUUCGGAAGAACACCAGUGGCGAAGGCGACACACUGGCCCAUUACUGACGCUGAGGCUCGAAAGCGUGGGAGCAAACAGGAUUAGAUACCCCAGUAGUCCCUGUCUCUUAUACA
Molecule: ribosomal RNA, 301 nt
Filed under: uncultured bacterium
Lineage: Bacteria
Description: partial 16S ribosomal RNA
Rfam family: Bacterial small subunit ribosomal RNA
Source: RNAcentral